Malus domestica (apple) is the source of this 2299-nucleotide non-coding RNA. The record is from RefSeq and is a predicted model, not a curated record. NCBI's taxonomy places the organism in Eukaryota, Viridiplantae, Streptophyta, Magnoliopsida, Rosales, Rosaceae.
UAUCCAUCCGGACUCAUUUUCCAACGAUCCAAAUGAGUGCUUGAGCUAUUCUCACUCAGAGUCACAGUCCCUCCCUCCGAAAAUCCUAAAACCCCGGAAAACCCAAACCCCCCAAAAUCAGCAACCUAAACCUAAUCAAUCGCCUAUGUCGAAGGAACCAUCCACGACCUUCAAACCCUACACCCUCUGCGAAACCUUAACGGGCCACAAGAGCGCCAUCUCCGGUGUCAAAUUCUCCUCCGACGGCCGCCUCCUCGGUUCCGCUUCCGCCGACAAGACCAUCCGCACCUACUCCCUUUCCUUCCCCGAUGACUCCUCCACUCCCACCAUCUCCGCCGCCCAGACCUUCGAAGGCCACUCCCAGGGCGUCUCCGAUCUCGCCUUCUCGGCCGACUCUCGCUUAAUGGUCUCCGCCUCCGACGACAAGACCCUCCGCCUCUGGGACGUCGCCACCGGCCAAACCAUCAAGACCCUCCAUGGCCACACCAACUACGUCUUCUGCGCCAACUUCAACCCUCAGUCCAAUAUGAUCGUCUCCGGUUCCUUCGACGAAACGGUGCGUAUUUGGGAUGUCAAGACCGGGAAAUGCUUGAAGGUUUUGCCGGCUCACUCCGACCCUGUCACCGCCGUUGAUUUCAAUCGGGAUGGCUCGGUUAUCGUUUCGAGCAGCUACGAUGGGUUGUGCAGGACCUGGGAUGCCUCCACUGGCCACUGCACCAAGACAUUGAUUGACGAUGAGAAUCCUCCGGUUUCGUUUGUUAAGUUUGCGCCUAAUGGAAAGUACAUUCUUGUUGGCACCUUGGAUGACACUCUGAGGCUCUGGAACUUUUCAACUGGGAAAUGUUUAAAGACUUACACCGGUCACAAGAGCUCGAGAUUCUGCAUUUCUUCCGCAUUUUCUGUGACAAAUGGGAUAUACAUUGUAAGUGGUUCUGAAGAUAAUUGUUUGUACUUGUGGGAAUUGCAAAGCAGGAAGGUAGUUCAGAAAUUGGAAGGUCACACUGACACUGUUAUAUCAGUAUCAUGUCACCCAACUAAGAACAUAAUUGCUUCUGGUGCACUUGGCAAUGACAAGACGGUGAAGAUCUGGACUCAGGAGAACUGAUUCAUUUCUGUUGUUGUAAAUGAUUGCAUCUGUGGCACAGAGGUUUUGACUUGAGGAGGGAGACUGAUUUGUUGCAUUACAAAGGCUGGGAGAAAUUGUGAAGCAGAGUAUAUACUCGCUGUGGUAAACAGAGGUCAAAGUUUGGUCCAGACUCCAGUUGUGAGAUGUGCAGGGUGUGCUGAAUCUGAAAACCGUUGUGGUCUGCUUGGUGCUCGUGGACAGACAGAGAUGUGUGGUAUGAAAGUACAUGUUGGUUUCUCAAUGCAGGUUUGUGAGCUUUUCUCCGAACUCUGAAAAUGCCUCCGUCAUCUUUAAUGGUCUAAUUUAUAUGUUCUUUAGUGUUGCAUGUUAGCGCAUGUUAAAUAUUGUACAGUAGUUCUCGGUUAAUAGAUGUCUGUUUGAAUGCUAUGUGGUGAACAACAUUGAAUCGAUUGAUUAGCUUGAUGCAAGUCCUGAAUGUCUUGAGCAGCAUCAACAUGGUUCCUUCCGAUUCGUUGAUCUUCAUUUUUGUCAUGAUAAUGGUGGAAGAUUUAACGCAUUGUCACCGACAGGGUUUCUGCUAUAGUUCUGCAUUGUCUCUAUAAUCAUGCAGGGUCCAAGGACCUGAGGGAUAUAGUAAUGUCUUUAAAAUGCGAUCCUUUCUGUUGAUCUUCUAACUCACCGGCCAUUUUGUUUUUUCCAACACUUUUUUUUGUGUUUUCGUUGACAUUUCUUUCUUAACGGAGCUCUGUACCAGAAGCCAAAAUGGAAAAGUGCAGAAAGGAAGUGGGUUAAGUAAGCAUAUUGUUCAGCUACUUGUUCCCAAAAACAUCAACAGAUUAAACUAUGUGAAUUUAUGAAACGAUCCUCCGAACGUGCCUAUGCAUCUUCAGUAUAUGGGUGAUACACACAUACAAGGACAAGGUGGUCCCAAAGAUCCUCUGGAGGCCCGAAACACCUAUGGAGGGACGUUCUUUAGGGACCCUCCAAAUGUUUCGACGGAGGGUCCGACCUACGUCUAGGGUUAUGUAUGGGUUACGUCCAACACUUUGUUUAUUUUGUUAGACGAUAUAUAGUUGGUCUAAUCAAAAUUCUGGUGCAUGAUGCAUCCAUGGAGGAGACGUGAGGUUACAUAAGCUUUUCCGCAAGGAAGAAGACCUCGUUGUUUCUUACUUCAUUUUACUAAUAUUAAAUGGAAUGGACCGCUUCACAUAA